AAUUUUAGAGAUUAAUUCCCAGGACUUUAAAAAUUCCUGAAUAUAAGCCAUUUGAAAUCAGUAACAGUAGGAAAUACUGCUUUUUCUCCCUGAACUUUUUAAAUGAUAAAAAAAACUUGAAGAAGUCCAUCAAUAUUUAGUAUUUAUGUUCUCAAACUAUCACUUCCUUUUAUUGUCUGUAGGAGUUUAAGCCAAUUUCAUUUUGAUUAAUGUUCUCUCUAUAGCUAAUCUUUAAAUUUUUUUGAGGCUGGACAUGUGGAAGAAUAAAAUCAGUCAAGUGGUAGAUUAGCCCAAUUGACUUUUAUAUCCCAGUCUCUGUUAUCCUGACCUAACUUUUUUCCUCUAUCAAAUUGAGAAAAAAUGAUCAGAAAGAUAGUACUAUGCUAA
Homo sapiens (human) is the source of this 387-nucleotide long non-coding RNA. The record is from Ensembl. NCBI's taxonomy places the organism in Eukaryota, Metazoa, Chordata, Mammalia, Primates, Hominidae.